This is a long non-coding RNA of Gallus gallus (chicken), 5359 nucleotides long. The record is from Ensembl. Lineage: Eukaryota; Metazoa; Chordata; Aves; Galliformes; Phasianidae.
CUCUUUGAAAGCUUGCCAGACAGUGCCACCUCUACCUUCGCUUUGUCCCACCCCGGGCUGCAGCCACCCGCAGCAGGGGCAUGGGGAGAAGGGGUCACCCAGAGGCACCUCUGUCCUACAGCCCCCCAUGGCUGGGAUGUCCCCACUGAGGUCACCUCAAUCUGAGAUCCUCCAAAGGACACCUCUUUCUCCAGCCCCUCCAGCCCUGUUAGUUGUGCGCUGAUGUCUGGAUUGAAGAUACGGGCUUCACCCCACCGAGGCAGAAAACACUGAUGGAAAGAGAGAUCAGGAUCAGCUCUACCAAUCCCAGGUUGCUCUGUAAAUCAGAAGAGGAUCGUACUCGGCUCCGUUUUUGCAAAUAGGAAACCUGGAGCGGAGAUGAGGAGACUGAAGAGGAAGCAGCCAGCAAGAUAACCCAGGGGAGUGUGAGGAGCCAUCCAGCUCACACAACCCCUGUGGUCUCACCAGCUCUGCUCUCAACAACAGCUCAGCUGCAUGUUUGACAGCACCUGGCCAACAGUGAAGCCUUGACUCCUCUCCUCAUGAGAAAAAUGCUCUGUGUGCAGAGAAGUGGUGAAAAAGGAUCUUCCUGGUGCGCUCACCCUCUCCAUCUGCCGGGGCUGUGCCAGGCAGAGCUGCUGACAGAUGCAGGCAGUACCAAGCCCUUCUCCUGCACGGACUGGCUGCCCUUGGCUCUCACACCCACCGAAGCCAUUAGCAAUGAGCUCAACCUUCUGUUAUUGCUGAUCCAGGGAGUCUGGAGGCUCUCGGAAGUGCAGCAUCGAUUUGCGCCUCUCACGCGUUCCUCUCAGGGCUUCGGUUUCAGGAAAUAUCUUUGCCUCUCCUCUCUCCUUCACAGUCUCCAGGAAUGAUCUUCCAGAGGGACGCUGGAGCUGGGAGCUAAGGGAAAAACAGCUAGGAGUUUAGUGAGAGGAAUGAGGGCUUAGCAAGGCCUCAGCUUUGGCUGCCUGUGUGCUUUAUUCAUCCUCCUCAUUGUGGGGAGGACACCUUCCCCCCAGACAGUCCGUGCCUUGCUAAGCCAGGAAAAGCCACAGUGGGAAUUUCAGGAAUGCAAAGCGAGCCACAAUCUCACAGGGAGAUGUGGUGUGGAUGAGGGGUGGGAAACACCUCACAUAGCAGCUUAACGGCAAGGACUGCUGGUCUCUGCUCAUCCAUGGCAUGGCCAUGUAAAGGCGAUGUGCCCAGGGCAAUGCCUUCUCCUCCUGGCAGAGCUGCCAGCAUGGCUUGUGCCGACCAGUAAACAGGAGACAGCGUUGCUGUGCAAACUCAGAUAAGGCUGUCUGUCUGCCAGGGAGUGUUCACUGCUGGUAAUGAUCAACUCAGCAGCAUCCUGGUACCCUUGAAAGAAAAUCCUGCUGAGGGCAGGGGCAGGCAGAGGGCAGAAGAGAUGCUUCUAAUUUUUAUUCUACCUGGGCAAGGAGGGCAGACGUGAUUUUUUCUUUUGUGUCAUUGUAUGCACGUAAGGAGCCAAGGGCCCUAUUGUGUUGCAUCUUUUCUAUAGAAAUGGAUCACAAGACAGCCCCAACAUCAGUGUUAAAACCUUGCACAAGCAGCCAGGCAGCACCACGAGGACCAACAAGGCAGUCAAAAAAGAGCUACAGCCAAAACCACAUCACCUCCUCGAGUCUCCUUUCCUGGGUAGGAAAGGUUUGCUGCCCAGCCCAGCACCUUAUCAAACGGGCUGCCUCACUCCCCCCGCAUCCCCAGAAAGACUUUCAGGUCCCUGGGUACACUUCACAAAUGAGCCAUCACAAACGUGAGUGUUGGUGCCAGCUGCCAGAAGCAGAGAUCAAGCUCUCACCUACGUCCAUCAGCUCUGCCUGGGAAGCAGGCUUGCCUUUGACAACAGGCAGAUUAAGAAGCAGACAAACAAGUGCUUGGUGCCCUGAACAGGCAGGCUGUGCUGCUUGCAGCCAUUGGGAAGUGGAGAUGUCCAAGUGGUGAUGAAUUCAACCAUGGCACCACUGGACUCCUGCCCACCUGAGGGACGUGUCCUGGACAAAGCUGGUUUACCCUCAUCUCACCCUCUUGCAUUUCACACAGCAGCAUAUUACUGCAUGCAGGGGACGGGAUUGAGCUGACUCCUUGCACUUACUGCCCUUACAGCUAUGAGAGUCAGAGGAGAAAGAGGACAGAUCACCUUCCACUGCUAACACUGAAAAGUAGACACGAAACAAACCCAGCCUUCAUUGACAGCAUUUACUGCAGAAAUCAACACUUCCUAUACAUAAAAAAAUCAAUGGAAUGUAACUUACCAAAUAAAUCCCCAUUGGACCUGGACCAGGACAAAACCGCCUGCAUCAAGAGGGCCUCACAUGGCCAAAUCCCGACGCUGCCAUCCCUCUCCAAAGCCUCACUUUGUCCCCACCAGGACCACCACCCCAGCUACAAACAGGGUUCCUGCUUGGGAAUAGCUGUCUCAGAGACCAUCCUGCCGCGCCCGCAGGAGCGCACAGCUCUUCUGAUGGCCAUCAGAUGGUGCCAUUGAGUCUUCUUCGGAGGCAAAGCCCCGACGACAGCGAGCUUGGAGCAGGGAGCGCUCAUGUUCCUUGCUGCAGCACACAGGAAGGGAACGGAGCUGGAUUGCCCACCUCCAGAUAAAACCAGAUAAAGAGAUUCCUAGCGUAGGAGCUGGCAAGGAAAGGCGCGUUUGUGCUUUCUGUUGUUUCCAAAGAUGUGAGCAAGCUUCUGUGUCACCACCUGUGGGUUUUGCACCGGUCUUGCAAGGUUGGCUAUAUUCCUGCAGUGAUGUCAGCGUAGGAGAAGGCGACAGCAGCGUAGGAGCAUUUCAGCCUCAGUUUCCUCAAAACAAGGUGUGUUCUCCGCUGGAAAGUGUUAGAAAAAAAGGAACUUAGAUCAAUCAGGGGCAGAAAUGAAAGAGCAGCCGUGUUAGCAAAAGCUCCUUUUUGAGCACUGCGGGACAGCAGAUGCUUUCAGACAGCCCCAGAGAGCUCUCGCUUGGGAGUGACCUCCCCUCCACAUCCCCAUGCUUCUUCCCCUUUUAUUUUUAGCACAAAGCACGAAGCAAGAGGCUUGCACUUCAAGGCACGCCGUUUGCAAUGCUCUCAUCACAUUUGCCUUCUCUCCUUCAGAUAUGGGACCAGAACUUCCCAUGCUUUUGAGCUACUAACUCCCUUUGCGGGUUUUGUUUGUUUGUUUGUUUGUGUUUUGCUUUGUUUUGCAGUGGAUAAAGCCUGCCAUCCAACUGAGGUCCUCAUUGCAAAGAGGCAUGAAUAAUAACCGGCCACAUUUCAUUCCUGUUCUUCUUUGGAUUUUAAUUGCGUGAGAUGAGAGGGGAGAAAAAUGGUAGCAAGCAGAGGAAGCCCGAGAAGGAGAGAGAGGAGGAAUCAUCACUAUUGCAUUUCGUCAGCGAUAAGAAUGGCUGCUGAGCUGGAGUGAGUGGUUUCCAAGUGCAGCGGGAGCCAGCUUCAAUUUCACAGCAUAAUCUUUCCUGUGGCCUUAAAAUAACUUCUCCCUGCCCCCAGGGUAUCACAGGAGCUGCAGAGCCGUGCAUGUCCCUUCCCUGCACGGCUCCGCGUUCAGCGCUUGCCUUAUCUGUGGCUGGGGGCUGUUUGGAGAGCGCUGGCAUCGCAUGUGUCACACGGAGGCACAGAGCCCUGGAACAGAAAGGGGACAUUUUUCAGACCCGUGGUCUCCCCAGGAGGGCAGCAGGCUGGGCAGAGCUGACUGUUUGAGCUCCUCUUUGGUGCCAGCAAAAGAGCAGCUUCCCCGAAGUGCUCCGCAGAGACGGGACCUCUUUAUUGUCGGGGCUAAUUGCUCAUGUGAGAUGUACUUACAGAGGCGGCUGUUUGUGCAGAGAGGGAUAGACAAACAGACUCCUGUUCUGCCAGGCACCCUUUGUAAUCAGAGGGGGCUGGGAGUACUUUAGUGCAGUCAUGGCAGACCUCAUUUGCACCGCCAGCACCGAUCCUGCACUGGCUUGGAUGAUGGUUGGGGGUGCUGAGCUCCAUCCCAUUGCCCAGCUCAUCAGGAGUGACAGUUCAGAGCAAUUCCCCCUCCCUGGAUGUAUUCAGGGCCAGCUUGGAUGGGGCCCUGAGCAGCCUGAUGUGGUGGGAGGCAGUCCUGCCCAGGACAAGGGGCUGGAACUGGGUAGGCUUUAAGGCCCCUUUUCAACCGAAGCCAUUCUGUGAUUCUAUGGUUCCCUGCACUCAGCCCACUGCUUGCUCUUGUACAUCUUUGCCCAGCAACCUCGCCGUGCCCAUGACUUGCAAAUCUAACACUGGGUAAAAGCAUCCAGGACUCUGAAAAACAGACCCGCGGACGUUCUUCAGCUUCACAUCUGCUGCCUAUGGUAUAUUUUUUUUAAUCAGGUGGAGGCCUAGGGGGGAUUUUGCCACGUGUGAGGGAGAUCCAGCAUUAGGAAAGUAAUGCAAGCAAUUUCCGGCACUGUCUCCAUCCCCUCGCACAGCCAGUGGGGAUGGUUUCCAAUGAUGUGCCUGCAGGUAGCCCACAGCCCGUCCACACCAAAUGGACAUCCCUCUCCCUGUGUGAAGAUAUACCUCCUGUUUCCCACCUUCUGUGCUUUUCUCUGCCCUGUGACAGGCGGUGGGCUGGGAUAUGCUCAGUGAAGAGCUCAGCAGUAAGAAAAAGCAGCAUCAAGUACAGCGAGCUGUAGCAAAACUGAUACGUCAACCCUGAUACCUUUUGUUCUUCCAGGAAGAGCCAUUAUUCCUCAGUUGGAAGAAUAGAGAGACCUACCUAAUUCUGAGCACUCCCAAGCCAUGAAUGUUUCAGGGCAUUUACAUGUCAGCUCCCACAAGACAUUUGAUGUAGAGGGAAGCGUUCCUUUUCCCAGAUGAGGUAACGGAGGCACGAGGAAGGUAUUGCUCAAUAAUACUUAAUUAGUGGGGAAACAACAUAGAAAACAAUCACCACUGGCCUCGUGCUUUAACGUGCACUCAUAAGUUGUGCUGUAAAAGAGGAAAUGUCCAAUCUUUCUGUCUUCCCGUGGCCAGGAGAUGGAGAAAAAGCUUACCCAGAGAUUUUCUUUGUUCAGCAUCUCUGGAAAUGCAGACACCCAGGCACAGAUUUUCAGUACCCCUUCCUGAAGUUUCAGCACUCUAUAGACAUGUAAAUACAAGCCAUACUUCCCAGCUAGUUGGGCUCUAUAUAAAUGCAUACAUAUAUAUAUAUCAGUCUGGUUUGGUCUUCAGCAGAUUGUCUUGUUGCAAGACUAUAUCUAAAACACGUUACUAUUACUGGCAGCAAUCGAUAUUUAGAACCACUCAUAGUGUUUAUUUAUGAAAAAAAAAAGAAAAAAAUCGAAUGUUCCAACCCAGAAGAGACGUUGUUAUUAAUAUCCAGCAUGAUUAAUGAU